RNAcentral lists this ribosomal RNA (315 nucleotides) under uncultured soil bacterium. RNAcentral describes it as "bacterial SSU rRNA". It matches the Rfam family "Bacterial small subunit ribosomal RNA", at positions 26 to 366 of the family's 1533-position model. The record is from RNAcentral.
AGAACGAACGCUGGCGGCAUGCCUAAUACAUGCAAGUCGAACGAACUCUUCGGAGUUAGUGGCGCACGGGUGCGUAACGCGUGGGAAUCUGCCCUUGGGUUCGGAAUAACAGUUGGAAACGACUGCUAAUACCGGAUGAUGACGAAAGUCCAAAGAUUUAUCGCCCAGGGAUGAGCCCGCGUAGGAUUAGCUAGUUGGUGAGGUAAAGGCUCACCGAAGGCGACGAUCCUUAGCUGGUCUGAGAGAUGAUCAGCCACACGUGGGACCUGACGACACGGCCCAGACUCCGUACGGGAGCAGCAGUAGGGAUAUGGA